CAUAGCAACUGUGCUUUGCAGAAUGACCAGUGGAGACUUGCUCUGGACGUGGAUCAAGACUGUGCGGUAAAGUAGCAUACGGUCUGAAGUACAUCUGCUUUAUUUGCUGUAGAGGUUGGAAAGUAUGAAGACAAUGAGUCAGGGGACUGGAGGAACAGAAAAGCCUGACUGCCUUCUUGGGGGAGCAGACUUCUCCUCUUGCCUCUGCCACACUGUGCCUGCAUGAUGUCAGGCGACUGGUGUCUACCACAGGAAAGGCAGUGAGGAAACUGAUAGCCAUAUCUGCAGAGCACGGUUUGAACAUUGUGCAACAAGUUAAGCCUGGAAUCACACAUUAAGCAGAGGACAGAACUAAAAUCAUCAUUACUUGUGUGCAGCUCAUCCGGUGCACUGAAGGAAACCGAAGCUCAUUGGAAAAAAUAGCAUGCAGACGGUGACUGAAGACUGUCAUAAUGCAAGCACAUAAAGGCUACAAAUAAAGGUUGCACAAGCAUCCUCAU
Cygnus olor (mute swan) is the source of this 500-nucleotide long non-coding RNA. RefSeq lists it as uncharacterized. Lineage: Eukaryota; Metazoa; Chordata; Aves; Anseriformes; Anatidae. The transcript has 2 exons. The record is from RefSeq and is a predicted model, not a curated record.